This 301-nucleotide ribosomal RNA is filed under the name uncultured bacterium. RNAcentral describes it as "partial 16S ribosomal RNA". It matches the Rfam family "Bacterial small subunit ribosomal RNA", at positions 509 to 807 of the family's 1533-position model. The record is from RNAcentral.
CAGUAGCCACGGUAAUACGAAGGGGGCUAGCGUUGCUCGGAAUUACUGGGCGUAAAGGGCGCGUAGGCGGACAGUUUAGUCGGGGGUGAAAGCCCUGGGCUCAACCUCGGAAUUGCCUUCGAUACUGGCUGUCUUGAGUGUGAGAGAGGUGUGUGGAACUCCGAGUGUAGAGGUGAAAUUUGUAGAUAUUCGGAAGAACACCAGUGGCGAAGGCGACACACUGGGUCACUACUGACGCUGAGGCGCGAAAGCGUGGGGAGCAAACAGGAUUAGAUACCCCAGUAGUCCCUGUCUCUUAUAC